This 873-nucleotide ribosomal RNA is filed under the name uncultured candidate division WYO bacterium. RNAcentral describes it as "bacterial SSU rRNA". It matches the Rfam family "Bacterial small subunit ribosomal RNA", at positions 28 to 916 of the family's 1533-position model. The record is from RNAcentral.
GACGAACGCUGGCGGCGUGGAUUANGCAUGCAAGUUGAGCGACGGUUAAGGGCUUGCCCUUAAUACGGAGCAGCGAACGGGUGAGUAACACGUGAACAAUCUGUCCCUUCAUUCCGGAUAAUUGGUCGAAAGGCCUUGUAAUACGGGCGAGGGUCUCUGGAAGGCAUCUUUUGGAGAAGGAAGGCGCAAGCCGUGCAGGGAGGAGUUCGCGGCCUAUCAGUUAGUUGGUGGGGUAAUGGCCUACCAAGACGACGACGGGUAGCUGGUCUGAGAGGAUGGUCAGCCACAUUGGAACUGAGACACUGUCCAGACUCCUACGGGAGGCUGCAGUCGAGAAUCUUGGGCAAUGCACGAAAGUGUGACCCAGCGACGCCGCGUGAAGGAUGAAGGCCCUCUGGGUCGUAAACUUCUUUUAAGGGGGAAGAAUAAAUGACGGUACCCCUUGAAUAAGCCACGGCUAACUACGUGCCAGCAGCCGCGGUAAUACGUAGGUGGCAAGCGUUGUCCGGAUUUACUGGGCGUAAAGCGUAUGCAGGCGGAUUGUUAAGUAGGAAGUGAAAGGUUGGAGCUCAACUCUAACACUGCUCCCUAUACUGGCAGUCUUGAGUGGCGGAGAGGAAGAUGGAACGACACGUGUAGCGGUGAAAUGCGUUGAUAUGUGUCGGAACACCAAUGGCGAAAGCAAUCUUCUGGACGCAAACUGACGCUGAGAUACGAAAGCCAAGGUAGCAAACAGGAUUAGAUACCCUGGUAGUCUUGGCCAUAAACGAUGAUCACUAGGUGUUGGGGCUUUGCCUCGGUGCCGCAGCUAACGCAUUAAGUGAUCCGCCUGGGAACUACGAGCGCAAGCUUAAAACUCAAAGGAAUUGACGG